Non-coding RNA from Equus caballus (horse), 318 nucleotides. NCBI's taxonomy places the organism in Eukaryota, Metazoa, Chordata, Mammalia, Perissodactyla, Equidae. The record is from RefSeq and is a predicted model, not a curated record.
GUUAGUUGCCAGGGUCUGAGCCCAGCAGAGAGAGGCUGGACAUGAAAGGAUGGCACUCGGGCUUCUGCUCCUCCUCCUGGCUUCUUUCACCAUGACUUCUUUCACAUGGUGCGAUUUCUAAAACAGCCACCAAAGCAGUUGCUGCCUGGUCUAAGACCUGGAGAUAUGGUCCUCUGAAAAAGGCAUCAGAGAAAAACUGCCCUUGACUCUCAAGGAGAAAAGACUCUAUCAAGUAUUGUCAAUGAUUAACACAGUCAAACUCCAAGGUGUUGGUCUUUAGGCUUAUGUUGCUUGACUUAAAAGACGUAAGUCACUUCC